GAAUAGGUCGCGCGGGGGCUCGGCAGACCAGGUGAGUUGCAGCCUUGAAAUCAGUGUAACUUCGUGCGGGGGCCUGGGCACAGCCUCGCCAUCGUCAGGAGCAACCGCGCAGUGGGAUAAACUUUGGCUGCAGCUUUGCCGCACGAGAGGGGCGGGGUUACUUGAAUGGGUCCUCAGGAGAAGGCGAUUGGCCCCGGGGGAAUCGAGGGGGCGGGACUAGCCCAUUGUUGCCAUUGGUCCUGCGGGCCAGUUGAGGGAUGGCAGCGAGGGGGCGGAGCCGGCCAGGGGAGGCAAUUGGUCUGGCGAGAGCCCACCGAGGGGAGCAGGCGGGCGGGCGAGCCCGCAGCCGGGAGCCGGGGGCACGGGGCCGGGAAGCAGCCGCGGCGAGCUCGCCAGGGCCGCAGCCGGGCGAGGGGCGCACGGGGCGUUGGCACCGGGGCGCGCGCCUGCGUCGCCGACUUGGAUGCGGCGGGGACGCUUCUGCGCCGGGUGCGCUCGGCGCGAGCCAUUCAACAGCUGGCCUCGCGGGCCACAGUCGCAGGGAGCGACCGGGAGCGUUGGCCGUUGCGACUGCGGCUGCCGUAGCAGUCCCGCUACCCCAGCGGAGGCCGGAGUGGAGACGCAGCGGCUCCUUAGACUCCCGGUUCCCCGCAUCAUACACUCGUGUGAAGAGAGUGGACACUGACUGGCUUCGUGUAUCAUCUCCAGCAUCAGAAGGAAAGCGUUCGGUGGUCCAGAUGCUACAACGUAGCAGGCUACCGUGACGAGCUCAUGUGAACUGUGGCUUCUCCAAUCGUUCCUUCCUUGAUCACAUUUUCGCCAUAAGGU
Mirounga angustirostris (Northern elephant seal) is the source of this 828-nucleotide long non-coding RNA. RefSeq lists it as uncharacterized. The record is from RefSeq and is a predicted model, not a curated record. Lineage: Eukaryota; Metazoa; Chordata; Mammalia; Carnivora; Phocidae. The transcript has 3 exons.